UACGAAGGGGGCUAGCGUUGCUCGGAAUCACUGGGCGUAAAGCGCACGUAGGCGGAUUGUUAAGUCAGGGGUGAAAUCCUGGAGCUCAACUCCAGAACUGCCUUUGAUACUGGCGAUCUCGAGUCCGGGAGAGGUGAGUGGAACUGCGAGUGUAGGGGUGAAAUUCGUAGAUAUUCGCAAGAACACCAGUGGCGAAGGCGGCUCACUGGCCCGGUACUGACGCUGAGGUGCGAAAGCGUGGGGAGCAAACAGG
Molecule: ribosomal RNA, 253 nt
Filed under: uncultured bacterium
Lineage: Bacteria
Description: partial 16S ribosomal RNA
Rfam family: Bacterial small subunit ribosomal RNA
Source: RNAcentral